GCGAAUUCGCCCUUCGGGGUGCAGCAGGCGCGAAAACUUUACAAUGCGGGAAACCGUGAUAAGGGGACACCGAGUGUCAGCGUCAUACGCUGGCUGUCCAGGUGUGUAAAAUACACCUGUUAGCAAGGGCCGGGCAAGACCGGUGCCAGCCGCCGCGGUAACACCGGCGGCCCGAGUGGUGAUCGUGAUUAUUGGGUCUAAAGGGUCCGUAGCCGGUUUAGUCAGUCCUCCGGGAAAUCUGAUAGCUCAACUAUUAGGCUAUCGGGGGAUACUACCAGACUUGGAACCGGGAGAGGUAAGAGGUACUACAGGGGUAGGAGUGAAAUCUUGUAAUCCCUGUGGGACCACCUGUGGCGAAGGCGUCUUACCAGAACGGGUUCGACGGUGAGGGACGAAAGCUGGGGGCACGAACCGGAUUAGAUACCCGGGUAGUCCCAGCCGUAAACGAUGCUCGCUAGGUGUCAGGCAUCGCGCGACCGUGUCUGGUGCCGCAGGGAAGCCGUGAAGCGAGCCACCUGGGAAGUACGGCCGCAAGGCUGAAACUUAAAGGAAUUGGCGGGGGAGCAC
This 567-nucleotide ribosomal RNA is filed under the name uncultured archaeon. RNAcentral's name for it is "bacterial SSU rRNA". It matches the Rfam family "Archaeal small subunit ribosomal RNA", at positions 312 to 879 of the family's 1478-position model. The record is from RNAcentral.